AUAUGCCUACGGGGCGCAGCAGUGAGGAAUAUUGGUCAAUGGGCGUGAGCCUGAACCAGCCAAGUCGCGUGAGGGAGGACGGCCCUACGGGUUGUAAGCCUCUUUUGCCGGGGAGCAACGGGCGUCACGUGUGGCGCCACUGAGAGUACCUGGAGAAAAAGCAUCGGCUAACUCCGUGCCAGCAGCCGCGGUAAUACGGAGGAUGCGAGCGUUAUCCGGAUUUAUUGGGUUUAAAGGGUGCGUAGGCGGAUCGUUAAGUCAGUGGUCAAAUUGCGGGGCUCAACCCCUUCCCGCCAUUGAAACUG
RNAcentral lists this ribosomal RNA (305 nucleotides) under uncultured bacterium. RNAcentral's name for it is "bacterial SSU rRNA". It matches the Rfam family "Bacterial small subunit ribosomal RNA", at positions 333 to 635 of the family's 1533-position model. The record is from RNAcentral.